This 1201-nucleotide long non-coding RNA is filed under the name Rattus norvegicus (Norway rat). RNAcentral's name for it is "long non-coding RNA NONRATT019792". Lineage: Eukaryota; Metazoa; Chordata; Mammalia; Rodentia; Muridae. The record is from RNAcentral.
AAGGAACCAUUUAACAUUUACUAAAGACUCCUAGUUUUAGGCACUGGCCUGCCCACAGAGCUGCUACAGAAGCGAGGCACUGGUAUUACAGGAGGCUUCCCCAUGGCAAGAUUGCAUAUCCACUCCUAGUUGGCUUCACUGCACACCUAAUCCACAUCAUCACUACUACACAGUGCUGUGGAAGGCUCCCUGUUUGGGGUAGAGCCUACACUCUUGAGUACUAGAGGAUUAUUGGAGCUCAGGCUCAGUGUACUGCAGAGUUGGGCUUCUCAGGAUUGUCUCAGAGUGAAGUCCAGGUAACCUUGCUAAGGACUCUAGGGCCAGUCCUUGCCCACCUCUUCCUCAUCAGGGGGAUCCAGCCUUUUCCUUGGCCUGCCCUCCUGCUUUCCCACGUGAGCUCCGGACCAGUUGUGACCUGGAGCUGUCUGUGUUGGCACAAGAUCUCACGCUCCACCUGCAGGCCAGAGCGCCCCUUUAUUUUCUCAUGUCGUUGGUACUGCUUUCCCCUGACAUUUUGUGAGGAAACUAGCCUUUGAUUCCUAUUUCCUUGGCGGGUAUCUGUCUUUGUCUGUGGAGAGUCUGGUUUCCGGUUGCAUGUGAGGUGUGGAAGCCCCAUGUGUGGCUCCAUAUGGGGCUGGCAGAUGAGUCUUCUGUCCCCAGUCACAAAGCCAGGUCAAAGCGGGAAAUGGAAACUGCACAUCCUCCUAAGUCCUUGACCGGAAACUGCCAUAACUCUUGGCCUUUUCCUUCUGCUCAGCUUAGCCCUUCUGAAAAUGCUUUCUGUCUUGUUCAGAUAUACAGAUACUUCCCAGGCUUUGACUGGUUCUUCCUCGACCCCAUUACAAGCAGUGGAAUUAAAUUUGCAAAUGACGAAAAGUGAGUAUUGUGAUAGAGUGAAUAGAAAGACACAGGACACCCCCACCUUCCCUCAGCGAAGUGUUAUCCUGACAGAGUGGUUGGUCUCUGAGUCCGUGUCUUUUGAAAGGGAAAGUCAAGUUGAGCUUAGUAUUAGAAAUAAGAAAGGGGCUGGAGAGAUGGCUCAGUGGUUAGGAGCACUGACUGCUCUUCCAGAGGUCCUGAGUUCAAAUCCCAGCAACCACAUGGUGGCUCACAACCAUCUGUAAUGGGAUCUGAUGCCCUCUUCUGGUGUGUCUGAAGACAGCUACAGUGUAUAGUAUACAUAAGAUAAAUAAUUCUUAAA